AGGCCCAAAAAGCAGCCCAAAUCUGUACCUUGGCUAGUUUGUACUUUCAAAACCGUCUGGGCUUUAAAUUAGUAGUCCAAUUUGGAUAGAAAACUGCCAACCCUGUCUCAGUGGGACUUGGCUUUUAACUAUUGAGUGCUGUUCUUAGAUCUGUUGUCAGCCAUGUUUUUCUUUAUACCAUGUAACUGCAGUUGGAUGUGCAACUGCCACUUUAUUUGUAAAUGCAACUGAACAUGAUUAUAUGUAAAGUCUUUUUUAGUGGAUGAGCAAAUUGCUGCUCCGGAUACGUAGUCUCUGUCACCUUGGUGAAAUCAUUUGAAUAUAUGAACAUAGAUCAGUCAUGGAGACUGCUUUAGUGCAUGGAUCCUAAUACCAAUGUAUUUUAACCACAGAAACAAAGUUAUUGAAAAACAUAAGUGCCAGUGUUGACAGUGCCAGCUUUUUUUAGCCACUGCAGAGGAAUAACUGCUAGAACAGCCAAUGACUACAGUGAAUAUUCAUCGCUUCCUGAAACUCACAGAUGCUCCUCUUGUUGUAUGUCUCCUUAGGGUUUUGUGCCCAGUACAGUUUUCUGCUCUAUGUAAUUGGAGGGCCUGGUAUAUCUAAGAACAGCACUCAGUAAUAAAAUCCAGGUCCCACUGCGACACAUUCAGUUACAUUGA
Long non-coding RNA from Xenopus laevis (African clawed frog), 662 nucleotides. RefSeq lists it as uncharacterized. NCBI's taxonomy places the organism in Eukaryota, Metazoa, Chordata, Amphibia, Anura, Pipidae. The transcript is spliced from 3 exons. The record is from RefSeq and is a predicted model, not a curated record.